UGCUCUGAUGAGACUAGAAAUAGGAAGUGCCGUCCGAGGCGAUAACUGACGACCUCCCUUCUUAGCUGAUC
This is a small nucleolar RNA of Peromyscus maniculatus bairdii (prairie deer mouse), 71 nucleotides long. Ensembl annotates it as small nucleolar RNA, C/D box 49B. Its record names the gene Snord49b. The record is from Ensembl. NCBI's taxonomy places the organism in Eukaryota, Metazoa, Chordata, Mammalia, Rodentia, Cricetidae.